Molecule: ribosomal RNA, 441 nt
Filed under: uncultured Chloroflexota bacterium
Lineage: Bacteria; Bacillati; Chloroflexota
Description: bacterial SSU rRNA
Rfam family: Bacterial small subunit ribosomal RNA
Source: RNAcentral
GCAGCGGAGCGUGUGGUUUAAUUCGAUGCAACGCGAAGAACCUUACCAGGGCUUGACAUGCUUGAAGUAGAAACUCGAAAGAGGGACGACCUGUAUCCAAUCAGGAGCUUGCACAGGUGCUGCAUGGCUGUCGUCAGCUCGUGCCGUGAGGUGUUAGGUUAAGUCCUGCAACGAGCGCAACCCUCGUCGCUAGUUAAUUUUUCUAGCGAUACUGCCCGUAUAACGCGGAGGAAGGUGGGAUGACGUCAAGUCAGCAUGGCCCUUACGUCCUGGGCUACACACACGCUACAAUGGGUGAUACAAAAGGUUGCAAUAGAGUGAUCUGGAGCUAAUCCUGAAAAUCAUCCUCAGUUCGGAUUGUAGGCUGAAACUGCCUGCAUGAAGUUGGAGUUGCUAGUAACCGCAGGUCAGCACACUGCGGUGAAUACGUUCUCGGGCCUU